GAUAAACGCUGGCGGCGUGCCUAAUACAUGCAAGUCGAGCGAACAGACGAGGAGCUUGCUCCUCUGAUGUUAGCGGCGGACGGGUGAGUAACACGUGGAUAACCUACCUAUAAGACUGGGAUAACUUCGGGAAACCGGAGCUAAUACCGGAUAACAUGUUGAACCGCAUGGUUCAACAGUGAAAGACGGUCUUGCUGUCACUUCUAGAUGGAUCCGCGCCGCAUUAGCUAGUUGGUAAGGUAACGGCUUACCAAGGCAACGAUGCGUAGCCGACCGGCGAGGGUGAUCGGCCACACUGGAACUGAGACACGGUCCAGACUCCUACGGGAGGCAGCAGUAGGGAAUCUUCCGCAAUGGGCGAAAGCCUGACGGAGCAACGCCGCGUGAGUGAAGAAGGUCUUCGGAUCGUAAAACUCUGUUAUUAGGGAAGAACAAAUGUGUAAGUAACUAUGCACGUCUUGACGGUACCUAAUCAGAAAGCCACGGCUAACUACGUG
This 497-nucleotide ribosomal RNA is filed under the name uncultured bacterium. Its description in RNAcentral is "partial 16S ribosomal RNA". It matches the Rfam family "Bacterial small subunit ribosomal RNA", at positions 28 to 507 of the family's 1533-position model. The record is from RNAcentral.